Molecule: long non-coding RNA, 264 nt
Filed under: Prunus persica (peach)
Lineage: Eukaryota; Viridiplantae; Streptophyta; Magnoliopsida; Rosales; Rosaceae
Description: long non-coding RNA (PPER_LNC007074)
Source: RNAcentral
CCCCUUUUCCUUAUUGUUGGCAAGCGAAAAAGUGUCCAGCUUCUCAACAUUGAUUACAAGAUUACUUGUUGGAGGACCCGAAAUUUCAGCCCCAAUACCCUAACAAAGUUCUGUUAUAUUGAGAUACACGUUAAGCACAUAAAAAAUCUAAUAGGAAGUUGACCAAACCACUUAAGCUAGACAUUCUAUUAUUCUUGAAUCUUGAACUUGUAGGGCUGGUACCAUAUCCGUUCUUCCUACGUUUAUUUGCUUCUGUACUCUUUU